CUUUCCUUUAGGAUAGAAAAAUAAUACAUGCCAAAAGAAUUUGAGGAACAAAUUCAGCCCUGAGACAGGUCAAGGAAACAGCCCUCCAGUCUUCCUCAAGAAAUGUAGACUGAAUCAGCAUUUACCCUCCCCUGGAAGAACGCAGGAGCUGUGCACGCCUGGGAUCUCAGCAGGGCUUUUGGGAAAAGCAGAACUGGGCUGGAGUCAUGGUUUCCGGGCUGACUCUAGAUUUUCCCUGGCUCUUGUCACCUGCGAUGGCUGGAGAGUAUCCGAAGAUGACGGCCAAUGUCCUUAGCUUGUGAAGCUUGGAUGACGGCCGGGGCCCUCAGACCCCUUGGCCCCUCAGACCCCUUGGCCCCUCCUCAACUGCAGGUCUUCAAAAGCCCAACACCUGUUCGUCAUUUCUGUGGCUCCUCAGGGAGUCUUACUCUUCUGCUUCAAGCUGCUGGGUUUGACUCUGAGCAGUUUCUGUGCAGCCACAAGAUUCUUAUGUGAGACACACUGCUGCUUCAGAGUGCUCCAACCCAUCUCCCCCGAUUAAACAAUAACCAGGGCUGCCAUAGCAAAGUGGCUUGAAUGGGUGACGUCAACAACAGAUUUACUUUCUCAUAGUUCUGGAGGCAGGUGUCCAGGAUCAAGGUGAUGGCAAGGCUAUUCCUUCUGUGGCCUCUCUCCUUGCCUUGUGGAUGACCGUCUUCUCCGGGUCUUUCCAAGAUCUCUCCUCUGUGCAUGUCAGUGUCCUCGCUUCCUCUUCUUAUGAAGACACCGGUCAUGUUGGAAUGCAACAGAAGAGACUGCAUGGCUUCUGAGGUUGCAGCUUUUGGGAGAAGCCAUCUACCAUUGAUGACACACAUGCCGUGUGGAAACCCCACCAGCCAUGUGGAGAGGCUACCUGGACAGAGGCACAGGGCCAGCACCAGCUGUGGAGACAGACAUGUGAGUAAAGAAAUCAUCUUUGAUGUACAGCCAAGUUGAGCCUUCAGAUGACUCUGAUUUCAGACACCUUCAGACGCAACCACAUGAAAGACUCUAAAUAGAAGCCUCCCAGCUGAUCCCAGUUAACCCACAGUGUUGAAGGGGAUAAUAAUAAAUUGUUUUAAGC
Molecule: long non-coding RNA, 1102 nt
Organism: Symphalangus syndactylus (siamang)
Lineage: Eukaryota; Metazoa; Chordata; Mammalia; Primates; Hylobatidae
Source: RefSeq, a predicted model, not a curated record